RNAcentral lists this long non-coding RNA (214 nucleotides) under Nicotiana benthamiana. RNAcentral describes it as "long non-coding RNA (NBEN_LNC015556)". Lineage: Eukaryota; Viridiplantae; Streptophyta; Magnoliopsida; Solanales; Solanaceae. The record is from RNAcentral.
GAAAUUCUUGAUGUGGUGAUCUAUCUUCCCACACUUGUAGCAUUCUGCAUUGCUUUGCUUUUCAGGGACCUUUGGCUUGCUGUAGCUUCCACUUUUUGAAGGACCAUUUCCUCUCCUUAGGUACUUCUUGAAGUCAUUUGUAAUCAUAUUAGUUUCAUCAUCUUCUAGACCAGAACCUUCAGUGAUUCUGAGAUCAGGCUCCUUUCCUUCUUAG